AUUGAACGCUGGCGGCAGGCUUAACACAUGCAAGUCGAGCGAGCGGCGGACGGGUGAGUAAUGUCUGGGAACCUGCCUGAUGGAGGGGGAUAACUACUGGAAACGGUAGCUAAUACCGCAUACCAUCAGAUGUGCCCAGAUGGGAUUAGCUAGUAGGUGGGGUAAUGGCGCACCUAGGCGACGAUCCCUAGCUGGUCUGAGAGGGUGACCAGGCACACGGGAACUGAGACACGGUCCAGACUCCGACGGGAGGCAGCAGUGGGGAAUAUUGCAGAAUGGGCGAAAGCCUGAUGCAGCAAUGCCGCGGGUAUGAAGAAGGCCUUCGGGUUGUAAAGCACUUUCAGCGAGGAGGCGUUACUCGCAGAAGAAGCACCGGCUAACUACGUGCCAGCAGCCGCGGUAAUUC
Molecule: ribosomal RNA, 406 nt
Filed under: uncultured bacterium
Lineage: Bacteria
Description: partial 16S ribosomal RNA
Rfam family: Bacterial small subunit ribosomal RNA
Source: RNAcentral